AACGAACGCUGGCGGCAGGCCUAACACAUGCAAGUCGAACGCCCCGCAAGGGGAGUGGCAGACGGGUGAGUAACACGUGGGAACGUACCCUUCGGUUCGGGAUAACUCAGGGAAACUUGAGCUAAUACCGGAUACGUCCGAGAGGAGAAAGAUUUAUCGCCGAGGGAUCGGCCCGCGCCUGAUUAGCUUGUUGGUGAGGUAACGGCUCACCAAGGCGACGAUCAGUAGCUGGUCUGAGAGGAUGAUCAGCCACAUUGGGACUGAGACACGGCCCAAACUCCUACGGGAGGCAGCAGUGGGGAAUAUUGGACAAUAGGCGCAAGCCUGAUCCAGCCAUGCCGCGUGAGUGAUGAAGGCCCUA
This 361-nucleotide ribosomal RNA is filed under the name uncultured bacterium. RNAcentral's name for it is "bacterial SSU rRNA". It matches the Rfam family "Bacterial small subunit ribosomal RNA", at positions 29 to 419 of the family's 1533-position model. The record is from RNAcentral.